RNAcentral lists this unclassified non-coding RNA (342 nucleotides) under soil metagenome. RNAcentral's name for it is "partial contains 5.8S ribosomal RNA, internal transcribed spacer 2, and large subunit ribosomal RNA". The stretch from base 2 to 121 matches the Rfam family "5.8S ribosomal RNA", at positions 36 to 154 of the family's 154-position model. The record is from RNAcentral.
AAUGAAGAACGCAGCGAAAUGCGAUAAGUAGUGUGAAUUGCAGAAUUCAGCGAAUCAUCGAAUCUUUGAACGCACAUUGCGCCCUUCGGUUAUUCCUUAGGGCAUGCCUGUUCGAGCGUCAUUUCAACCUUCAAGCCUGGCUUGGUGUUGGGCGCUGUCCCGCCUCCGCGCGCGGACUCGCCCCAAAUGAAUUGGCAGUCGCACCCUCCGAGCCGCGAGCGCAGCACAAGUCGCGCGGGCGGAACUCUGGGGGGACGGACGCUCCACAAGACCCUUUCUCAGUCUUGACCUCGGAUCAGGUAGGGAUACCCGCUGAACUUAAGCAUAUCAAUAAGCGGAGGA